AGUAAUUUUGUUCUUGCGGCAGAAUAAAAGCACCAAAAAUUGAGUCUGCAAGUUUGGAAAGAAGGAGAAGAACAAAACAUUGACGGAAGAGUAAGAUUGGGUGAUGGAUAUCCUUAGCUAAAUCCUGUGAUACGAACGAAAUCCCCAUUUUUCGGUGAAGAUAGAAAAUUUUCGAAAGAGAAGGGAGAUGAUCCGAAUUGCUGAAGGAAAGUAGAAGAAAAGG
RNAcentral lists this long non-coding RNA (223 nucleotides) under Salvia miltiorrhiza (redroot sage). RNAcentral describes it as "long non-coding RNA (SMIL_LNC010701)". Lineage: Eukaryota; Viridiplantae; Streptophyta; Magnoliopsida; Lamiales; Lamiaceae. The record is from RNAcentral.